RNAcentral lists this non-coding RNA (27 nucleotides) under Mus musculus (house mouse). The record is from RNAcentral. Lineage: Eukaryota; Metazoa; Chordata; Mammalia; Rodentia; Muridae.
UAGAGGACUACACAGAGAAACUUCAGG